AACGAACGCUGGCGGCAUGCCUAACACAUGCAAGUCGAACGGGAUCCUGGUUUCGGCCAGGUGAGAGUGGCGGACGGGUGAGUAACGCGUGGGAACCUGCCCAGUGGUGGGGGAUAACUGCGGGAAACUGCAGCUAAUACCGCAUGAGCCCGCAAGGGGAAAGAUUGAUCGCCAUUGGAGGGGCCCGCGUUCGAUUAGGUAGUUGGUGAGGUAACGGCUCACCAAGCCUACGAUCGAUAGCUGGUCUGAGAGGAUGAUCAGCCACACUGGGACUGAGAUACGGCCCAGACUCCUACGGGAGGCAGCAGUGGGGAAUAUUGGACAAUGGGGGCAACCCUGAUCCAGCAAUGCCGCGUGAGUGAUGAAGGCCUUCGGUU
RNAcentral lists this ribosomal RNA (377 nucleotides) under uncultured bacterium. Its description in RNAcentral is "bacterial SSU rRNA". It matches the Rfam family "Bacterial small subunit ribosomal RNA", at positions 29 to 423 of the family's 1533-position model. The record is from RNAcentral.